This 71-nucleotide transfer RNA is filed under the name Myotis lucifugus (little brown bat). It matches the Rfam family "tRNA". Rfam says of the family: Transfer RNA (tRNA) molecules are approximately 80 nucleotides in length. Their secondary structure includes four short double-helical elements and three loops (D, anti-codon, and T loops). Lineage: Eukaryota; Metazoa; Chordata; Mammalia; Chiroptera; Vespertilionidae. The record is from Rfam by way of RNAcentral.
GCCAGUUUGGCUCAGUGGUUGAGCAUCAGGCUAUGAACCAGUAGGUCAGGGUUCAAUUCCCGGUCAGGGCA